CAUUUCAGGUUACGAAGAAACAUCUUUCCGGGAGGAUCGACCGGGUCGAUGCUAAUCUAGAUGAAACACAAGAAAUUAUCGAAGGGACAAGGGAUGAGGUCGCAGUGAUCCAUGUGGAUCUGAGCGCCUUUCAGAAGGAGCUCCAAGAAGUCAGCCGUACGGUUGAGAUAUGGGGGUCAAGGCUGUCUGGUAUCGAGGACACCCAGGAUCGUACCGUGCGUGCAACCGAAGCCUUGGUUGG
This is a long non-coding RNA of Triticum aestivum (bread wheat), 241 nucleotides long. RefSeq lists it as uncharacterized. The record is from RefSeq and is a predicted model, not a curated record. The transcript has 4 exons. NCBI's taxonomy places the organism in Eukaryota, Viridiplantae, Streptophyta, Magnoliopsida, Poales, Poaceae.